CCUACGGGAGGCAGCAGUGGGGAAUAUUACACAAUGGGGGAAACCCUGAUGCAGCGACGCCGCGUGAGUGAAGAAGUAUUUCGGUAUGUAAAGCUCUAUCAGCAGGGAAGAAAUAGCGACCUUUGGGUCGCCAGACGGUACCUGAUUAAGAAGCCCCGGCUAACUACGUGCCAGCAGCCGCGGUAAUACGUAGGGGGCAAGCGUUAUCCGGAUUUACUGGGUGUAAAGGGAGCGUAGACGGCAGCGCAAGUCUGAAGUGAAAUGCCGGGGCUUAACCCCGGAACUGCUUUGGAAACUGUGCAGCUAGAGUGCAGGAGAGGUAAGGGGAAUGCGUGGUGUAGCGGGGAAAUGCAUAGAUAUUAGGAAGAACGCCAGUGGCGAAGGCGGCGUACUGGACUGUAACUGACGUUGAGGCUCGAAAGCGUGGGGAGCAAACAGGAUUAGAUACCCUGGUAGUC
This 458-nucleotide ribosomal RNA is filed under the name uncultured bacterium. RNAcentral's name for it is "partial 16S ribosomal RNA". It matches the Rfam family "Bacterial small subunit ribosomal RNA", at positions 338 to 795 of the family's 1533-position model. The record is from RNAcentral.